Unclassified non-coding RNA from Callithrix jacchus (white-tufted-ear marmoset), 298 nucleotides. It matches the Rfam family "Metazoan signal recognition particle RNA". From Rfam's summary of the family: The signal recognition particle (SRP) is a universally conserved ribonucleoprotein. NCBI's taxonomy places the organism in Eukaryota, Metazoa, Chordata, Mammalia, Primates, Cebidae. The record is from Ensembl.
GCUGGGUGCAGUGACACAUGCCUGCAGUCCCAGUUACUGGGGAGGCUGCAGUGGGAGGAUCACUUGACUAGGAGUUCUGGGCUGUAGUGCACUAUGCCAAUCGGGUGUCCACACUAAGUUCGGCAUCAAUAUGGUGACUUCCCAGGAGCGGGGGACCACCAGGUAGCCUAAGGUGGGGUGAAUCGGCCCAGGUCAGAAACGAAACAGGUCAAAACUCCCAUGCUGAUCAGUUGUGGGAUGGCUCCUGUGAAUAGCCACUGCAUUCCAGCCUGGGCAACAUAGCAAGACCCUAUCUCUU